CGCUGGCGGCGUGCCUAACACAUGCAAGUCGAGCGGGGACUUGGGAGCUUGCUCCUGGGUUCUAGCGGCGGACGGGUGAGUAACGCGUGAGCAACCUGCCUCUUACUGGGGGAUAACGCAUCGAAAGAUGUGCUAAUACCGCGUAAGACCACGGAGUCGCAUGGCUCAGGGGUCAAAGGAGCAAUCCGGUAAGAGGUGGGCUCGCGUCUGAUUAGAUAGUUGGUGGGGUAACGGCCUACCAAGUCGACGAUCAGUAGCCGACCUGAGAGGGUGAUCGGCCACAUUGGGACUGAGACACGGCCCAGACUCCUACGGGAGGCAGCAGUGAGGAAUAUUGGGCAAUGGGCGCAAGCCUGACCCAGCAAUGCCGCGUGAAGGAUGAAGGUUUUCGGAUUGUAAACUUCUUUUGUCAAGGACGAUAAUGACGGUACUUGACGAAUAAGCCACGGCUAACUACGUG
This 460-nucleotide ribosomal RNA is filed under the name uncultured bacterium. Its description in RNAcentral is "bacterial SSU rRNA". It matches the Rfam family "Bacterial small subunit ribosomal RNA", at positions 34 to 507 of the family's 1533-position model. The record is from RNAcentral.